Molecule: ribosomal RNA, 478 nt
Filed under: uncultured bacterium
Lineage: Bacteria
Description: partial 16S ribosomal RNA
Rfam family: Bacterial small subunit ribosomal RNA
Source: RNAcentral
GACGAACGCUGACGGCGUGCUUAACACAUGCAAGUCGAACGGUAAGGCCCUUCGGGGUACACGAGUGGCGAACGGGUGAGUAACACGUGGGUGAUCUGCCCUGCACUUCGGGAUAAGCCUGGGAAACUGGGUCUAAUACCGGAUAGGACCACUGCCUGCAUGGGUGGUGGUGGAAAGCUUUUGCGGUGUGGGAUGGGCCCGCGGCCUGUCAGCUUGUUGGUGGGGUGAUGGCCUACCAAGGCGACGACGGGUAGCCGGCCUGAGAGGGUGACCGGCCACACUGGGACUGAGAUAGUGCCCAGACUCCUACGGGAGGCAGCAGUGGGGAAUAUUGCACAAUGGGCGCAAGCCUGAUGCAGCGACGCCGCGUGAGGGAUGACGGCCUUCGGGUUGUAAACCUCUUUCAGCACCGACGAAGCGCAAGUGACGGUAGGUGCAGAAGAAGGACCGGCCAACUACGUGCCAGCAGCCGCCGUAA